CUUAGCUAACGUUAGCUACAGCUUGAUGAGUUGAGUCAUUUAACACAGCAGGAGAGAACGCGACGUUGGCCAGCUAGCUAAAGCUCUGGUGAAAAAUGAUUAGCUAACGCUACCGUUUUUGAGGAGGUAGAUUUUGAGGUGAGGGGACUGACGAGGCAGAAGGUUGUUUUUACGGGAGACCCACAGGUCGGAAUGGUUGAAGGGCACACUGGGGGAACAUGGUAGUCAGCGACAAUGGAAACCUUUCAACUUUUCCUUGCAAACGACCACCGGGUCAAAGACGUCCUUACACUGGAUUAAUUGGGCCUUGCAAUAUUGAAUCCUGCGUCGUCUCCUGCCGUACAUCCAUUGAGUCAUAUCUUGGUCAGGUUUUUUUAACAUGUACGGCACCUUUUGCAACUCACUAAUCAUACUUCAAACAAUAUGAAUGAAAGAAAUGACACACAGAUCAUUCACAGUUGUCGGAGCUUUGAAACGUGCUGUUUAAAGAUAGCAUUUAUUGUGGGGUUAUUGUUGUGACAAAACACCUACCUACUAUUUCCUGUAAAUCAUCAUGUACAAUAUCAAAUCAUAGUAUCGUAUGUUUGUUUAUGUUUGAUAUUUAUUGCAAGAGGGGCCAUUUGAUCUAAUCUCUCGUCCAUUUACAGUCUAUAAGUACAUACGCUGGAAAUGAUUGUACUGAACGUUUUUGGCCACAGACAUAUUUGUUGAACAAAGAAAAACAAGGAUUUUAGAUGAGAAUCCACAAAGAUAUUGCACGAUGAUAAGAUUGUGCAGUUCAACACCACACAGGAAGUGGACGCAGUAUUGUGAGACGUUCAUGAGUUGGUUUGUAUCAGUUUAGACCAACAUCAACAGCACAUUCAGGCU
Long non-coding RNA from Gasterosteus aculeatus aculeatus (three-spined stickleback), 870 nucleotides. NCBI's taxonomy places the organism in Eukaryota, Metazoa, Chordata, Actinopteri, Perciformes, Gasterosteidae. The record is from Ensembl.